Long non-coding RNA from Eurytemora carolleeae, 425 nucleotides. RefSeq lists it as uncharacterized. The transcript has 2 exons. NCBI's taxonomy places the organism in Eukaryota, Metazoa, Arthropoda, Copepoda, Calanoida, Temoridae. The record is from RefSeq and is a predicted model, not a curated record.
AAAAAACGAAGUACUAGUGGAUGUUAAUUAAAACAGGAAAUAUAAAAUUUAAUUGAAAAUCAAAUAUUGAUGUAAUCUCAAUUUUUUUCAAUUAUUUUUUUUGUUUCGACGCACUAAAAUGCCUUGUACAGUUUACAUCGGAGUGUAUGUAACGUACAUAAAUUCAAAAACCAGUCUUUCCCUCACACUAAACCAAUACGCACAGCUUCCAAUAAAUUUGCUUUAUUUAUCAACAGAAAAUUAAACAAUGUUAAAACCCAGUAAUCUGUAUUCUGUAUCCACAGACUAUAAAGAUAGGUCUAGAGAAAAAGCUUUUACUGAUCUCUCUUCCAAUCUUUUUUAUCUGUGAUUGUAUCUUAAUAUGGUCUUGAUAUUUGUACAUUAAAUACUCAGGGUUAUUUUGAACUAACACUUGAAAUUUUAGG